Molecule: ribosomal RNA, 601 nt
Filed under: uncultured Alphaproteobacteria bacterium
Lineage: Bacteria; Pseudomonadati; Pseudomonadota; Alphaproteobacteria
Description: partial 16S ribosomal RNA
Source: RNAcentral
ACGCGUUGGGAGCUCUCCCAUAUGGUCGACCUGCAGGCGGCCGCGAAUUCACUAGUGAUUCGUAUUACCGCGGCUGCUGGCACGGAGUUAGCCGGAGCUUAUUCUCCCGGUACUGUCAUUAUCAUCCCGGGUAAAAGAGCUUUACAACCCUAAGGCCUUCAUCACUCACGCGGCAUUGCUGGAUCAGGCUUUCGCCCAUUGUCCAAUAUUCCCCACUGCUGCCUCCCGUAGGAGUCUGGGCCGUGUCUCAGUCCCAGUGUGGCUGAUCAUUCUCUCAAACCAGCUACAGAUCAUUGGCUUGGUAGGCCAUUACCCUACCAACUACCUAAUCUGGCGCGGGCUCAUCCAUCAGCGAUAAAUCUUUCCUCCAAAGAGAAUAUACGGUAUUAGCAAUUAUUUCUAAAUGUUAUUCCGUACUGAUGGGCAGAUUCCCACGUGUUACUCACCCGUCUGCCACUAAUUUAUUUAAAGCAAGCUCUAAAUAAAUCCGUUCGACUUGCAUGUGUUAAGCAUACCGAAAGCGUUCGUUCUGAGCCAUGAUCAAACUCUAAUCGAAUUCCCGCGGCCGCCAUGGCGGCCGGGAGCAUGCGACGUCGUGCCC